CCUACGGGGGGCAGCAGUGAGGAAUAUUGGUCAAUGGACGAGAGUCUGAACCAGCCAAGUAGCGUGAAGGAUGACUGCCCUAUGGGUUGUAAACUUCUUUUAUAAAGGAAUAAAACGAGGCACGUGUCCCUUUUUGCAUGUACUUUAUGAAUAAGGAUCGGCUAACUCCGUGCCAUCAGCCGCGGUAAUACGGAGGAUGCGAGGGUUAUCCGGAUUUAUUGGGUUUAAGGGGUGCGCAGGCGGAGGAGAACGUCAGUGGUCAAAUUGCGGGGCUCAAACCCGUACUGCCGUUGAAACUGCAUCCCUGGAGUGCGCGAGAGGUAUGCGGAAUGCGUGGUGUAGCGGUGAAAUGCAUAGAGAUCACGCAGAACUCCGAUGGCGAAGGCAGCAUACCGGCGCGCAACUGACGCUCAUGCACGAAAGCGUGGGUAUCGAACAGGAUUAGAUACCCCAGUAGUC
This 459-nucleotide ribosomal RNA is filed under the name uncultured bacterium. RNAcentral describes it as "partial 16S ribosomal RNA". It matches the Rfam family "Bacterial small subunit ribosomal RNA", at positions 338 to 795 of the family's 1533-position model. The record is from RNAcentral.